Non-coding RNA from Pelobates cultripes (western spadefoot toad), 287 nucleotides. Lineage: Eukaryota; Metazoa; Chordata; Amphibia; Anura; Pelobatidae. The record is from the annotation of a GenBank genome assembly.
CUUACCUUGAAACAGUACGGAGCAGUAAGAGUCACUGAUGUCGGAGUCCGGAGUCUGCACAUUUUCAGCAUGUAAGAUGAAAACUCGCAGCAUUCCGCCUGAGUGUAUUCUUGUCACCCUUGUCUCUCCCUGAGCCGGACUGUCUGCACUGGGAUCCCACUCUGAUCCUCCCUCUCCAGCUCACUGCGGUGGUGAGUGGCUUUACAUGGACUGGAUGUCAUACUAUUAAAGGGAUAGUAACACCUGCUCCACGAAUCCAAUCAGUCACGCAAAGUUUACGAAUCUCA